RNAcentral lists this ribosomal RNA (582 nucleotides) under Clostridioides difficile. RNAcentral describes it as "bacterial LSU rRNA". It matches the Rfam family "Bacterial large subunit ribosomal RNA", at positions 1769 to 2349 of the family's 2925-position model. The record is from RNAcentral. Lineage: Bacteria; Bacillati; Bacillota; Clostridia; Peptostreptococcales; Peptostreptococcaceae.
UCAGGUGGCCGCAGAGAAUAGGCCCAAGCGACUGUUUACCAAAAACAUAGGUUUCUGCUAAGUCGCAAGACGAUGUAUAGGAGCUGACGCCUGCCCGGUGCUGGAAGGUUAAGGGGAUCUGUUAGAGCAAUCGAAGCAGUGAACUUAAGCCCCAGUAAACGGCGGCCGUAACUAUAACGGUCCUAAGGUAGCGAAAUUCCUUGUCGGGUAAGUUCCGACCCGCACGAAAGGCGUAACGAUUUGGGCACUGUCUCAACAACAGACUCGGUGAAAUUGUAAUUCCGGUGAAGAUGCCGGAUACCUGCGACAGGACGGAAAGACCCCAUGGAGCUUUACUGUAGCUUGACAUUGGGUCUUGGUACUACAUGUACAGGAUAGGUGGGAGGCUUUGAAACCAGGACGCCAGUUUUGGCGGAGCCAUCCUUGGGAUACCACCCUUGUAGUACUGGGACUCUAACCAUAGGCCAUGAAUCUGGUCUUGGGACACUGUCAGGUGGGCAGUUUGACUGGGGCGGUCGCCUCCCAAAAGGUAACGGAGGCGCUCAAAGGUUCUCUCAGUACGGUCGGAAAUCGUACGUAGAG